GAGCACCGGUCUCCAAAACCGGGGGUUGCAGGUUCAAGUCCUGCCGGGCCUG
RNAcentral lists this transfer RNA (52 nucleotides) under Gemmatimonadota bacterium. RNAcentral describes it as "Gemmatimonadetes bacterium (soil metagenome) tRNA-Leu". It matches the Rfam family "tRNA", at positions 21 to 71 of the family's 71-position model. Rfam says of the family: Transfer RNA (tRNA) molecules are approximately 80 nucleotides in length. Their secondary structure includes four short double-helical elements and three loops (D, anti-codon, and T loops). The record is from RNAcentral. Lineage: Bacteria; Pseudomonadati; Gemmatimonadota.